RNAcentral lists this signal recognition particle RNA (267 nucleotides) under Candidatus Acetothermia bacterium. RNAcentral describes it as "signal recognition particle sRNA large type". It matches the Rfam family "Bacterial large signal recognition particle RNA". From Rfam's summary of the family: The signal recognition particle (SRP) is a universally conserved ribonucleoprotein involved in the co-translational targeting of proteins to membranes. Archaeal SRP consists of a 7S RNA and homologues of the eukaryotic SRP19 and SRP54 proteins. Lineage: Bacteria; Candidatus Bipolaricaulota. The record is from RNAcentral.
CUGUGCUAGGUGGGGGGCUAGCGGUCCCCUGAAAUCCACAACCCGCUAUAGUGGAGCCGAAGGGUUCCCAGAGGGGGAAGGCAGUAGGGUCCGUUCUCGGGCAAGCGGUGUUGAGGGUCGAGCUCUCUGCGGCGCAUGCUUGUAAACCCCGUCAGGCCCGGAAGGGAGCAGCGGUAAGCGAGCCUCUGCGGGUGUUAGAGAAUAACUUGGCCUGAGCUGGCUGCCUGUGAAGCGCCUGGUGUCUUCUCACAACGGGACCACGCACAG